AGCGAACGCUGGCGGCAGGCUUAACACAUGCAAGUCGAACGCCCCGCAAGGGGAGCGGCAGACGGGUGAGUAACACGUGGGAACGUACCCUUUGGUUCGGAAUAACUUGGGGAAACUCAAGCUAAUGCCGGAUAAGCCCUUAUGGGGAAAGGUUUACUGCCGAAGGAUCGGCCCGGGUCGGAUUAGCUAGUUGGCGAGGUAAUGGCUCACCAAGGCGACGAUCAGUAGCUGGUCUGAGAGGAUGAUCAGCCACACUGGGACUGAGACACGGCCCAGACUCCUACGGGAGGCAGAAGUGGGGAAUAUUGGACAAUGGGGGCAACCCUGAUCCAGCCAUACCGCGUGAGUGAUGAAGGCCUUAGGGUUGUAAAGCUCUUUUACCCGGGACGAUAAUGACUGUACCGGGAGAAUAAGCCCCGGCUAACUUCGUGCCAGCCGCCGCGGUAA
Molecule: ribosomal RNA, 447 nt
Filed under: uncultured bacterium
Lineage: Bacteria
Description: partial 16S ribosomal RNA
Rfam family: Bacterial small subunit ribosomal RNA
Source: RNAcentral